UGGGAGAGAAGCUCUAAACCCUAACUUUGAUGGCUACCUCUGAUAAUGAUUUCUUCUCUUCUCUUCUCUCCCGCAGGGGUGGAGGGGCCUUGGUUAUAUAGUCCUUUCAAGUGAAUUUGGGCCGUUGGAUCAAACCGACAUUGAUUGUAUGGUUUAGAUUCAUCCUUUAGGUCGGUGGAGCGUAGUCCCAAAAGAGAGUCCUGAUCCAACUCUAACAGGGGGCGGGCGCCCAGGUCAACUGGGCGGGCGCCCAGUACCUGGCCCCGUUCAGCCUCCGCUUCCUUCCCGUGGCUUCUGGAGUCUUCUAGAUUGAGGAAAAUUGCGCGGCACGUAAUUAUCUCGUUGUAAACAUGACAUGUGGGCCUUCUCUCCAUAUUCUCUGAUAACCCCCUGCAGAAAUAGAUAAACACCAAAGCUCGUGGAAUUCUGUCAGAUAAAACCCUAAUUCUAGAUGUUUAGUGCAUAUUGAUCCUUUUCCAUAUUUAUUUGAUUGUUAAUUUUAGUACUUAAGGACCGUGAACAAACUCGCCCAAGCUUACCCUUUGCUCGUCCCUGAGCAAACAGCUAAACUCAGAUGGAUCAGGAGUUGCUUCGAUGUUUUCUUUCAUGACAGGCACACAUGCUUUUAUAAAAAAAUUCUUCCAGAUUAGAGUGAAGUGUUAUGGAGUUUAGUACCUGCACUUAAGUAUUAAGUAAUUGAAAGACAAAAUAAUUAAGCAAGCACUAUUCCUCCUGUCUAUACUUCACCUUUGUUCGAGAGUUUUUCAUAAGUUUUCAAAAUAAAACUCAGAGUUCCUAGCAAUGAUUCUCUCAAGUCUCUCUAUAUGUGGUAUUUGUGGAUCCUUACCAAAAAUGUCACUUACCUAUAGCUAAUGGAAUAUUUAAGUGGAGCUCAUAGGAGUGAAAAAUAGCUCAUACAUAUGUUGUCUAAUCGAGCCAUGGAUCCAAAAGGAACUCAGCAUAUAAUUAAAUCAAGAUGUGCAUGUGUGGUGGAGUAAAUGAUAGUGAUGGUGAAAAUAUAUAAGUGAUAAUAACACUUACUUCUCAUUGUUCCUCAUAUUGCUAUCUCUCCUUUUCUUUGAUCUUUGCUUUGGGAGAACAUGGGCUAUCUUUUUUUCUCUUUCUUUUUUUUUCAGGUGGGUAGUAGAUACCCCUAAUUCUUCUAUCGGACACUUGUCCAUUUUUUCCGCUCAAGUGGGCAUCUUUGUACCCCUAAUUCUACUCCGGACACUUGUCCAUUUUUACCUCUCGUCUCACUCUUUUUCUUUCUUUUCUGAGGUUCUGGGCACUUGCCCCUUUUAUUUCCUCGCAUAUUUUUGCAUAACCCAUGCCUCUUCUACAUUGAAUUUUUUGAGAGAGAGAAUAACAACAUUUGGGACAGUGAGUGAUAAUAUAUAUUUAACAAUUUUAAUGAAUGGUGGUGGAUAGUGUAGUAGAUGUGUGCAAGUGAAUAUCUUAAUUUAACCACAUGAAAAGCUCCUAAGGGUCUACACAGCUCGAUCAAACUCAAUGUGAAUAAAAGAUGUUAUAGCAAGUAUGGCUGUGGUAGAUAGUUUGUAAUGCUAGGAACUCAUCAUGUGAUUUGUAAGUUUCCAAAAUAAAUCUCCAGAACUUAGUGUAGUAGGAAUAAGAUAAACAGCAGCUCAAACUUUAUAUUAUGUCCUUCUCUUACCUAGACUUUAGUUUUAUGCUUCCCAUAGAUAUUAAAUUCAGUUUUAGUAAUUCCUGGAAGAACUCUAACAUAAAAGCUAGGUACUAGUAAGAAAGCAAACAGAGCAACUGUUCAUCAUUUCCAUCAUGCAUCUUUUUGGUCUUUUUAUUUUUCUACAGAUUAACCUUAGCAGAUAAAUAAAGCACACUUAUCUACACACUCUUUUUAUUUUGUUUUCAUGUUUAUAAAAUGCAG
Molecule: long non-coding RNA, 1906 nt
Filed under: Sorghum bicolor (sorghum)
Lineage: Eukaryota; Viridiplantae; Streptophyta; Magnoliopsida; Poales; Poaceae
Description: long non-coding RNA (SBIC_LNC006238)
Source: RNAcentral